GCACCGGUGGUCUAACGGUUAUGACUUCGGCCUUCCAAGCCGACUAUCCGGGUUCGAAAGAGAUUUUCGCAGAAAAUCCCGGCCGGUGCA
RNAcentral lists this transfer RNA (90 nucleotides) under Candidatus Woesearchaeota archaeon. RNAcentral describes it as "tRNA-Gly". It matches the Rfam family "tRNA". Rfam says of the family: Transfer RNA (tRNA) molecules are approximately 80 nucleotides in length. Lineage: Archaea; Nanobdellati; Candidatus Woesearchaeota. The record is from RNAcentral.